AACGAACGCUGGCGGCGUGGAUAAGACAUGCAAGUCGAACGGGAACUUCAGCUGUAGCAAUACAGUUGAAGUUUUAGUGGCGAACGGGUGCGUAACACGUGGGCAAUCUGCCGAGAAGUGGGGGAUAGCUCGCCGAAAGGCGAAUUAAUACCGCAUAUGAUCAGCUAAGACAUCUUAGCGACAUCAAAGCCGGGGCAACCUGGCGCUUUUUGAGGAGCCCGCGGCCUAUCAGCUAGUUGGUGAGGUAACGGCUCACCAAGGCUAUGACGGGUAGCUGGUCUGAGAGGACGACCAGUCACACUGGAACUGAGACACGGUCCAGACACCUACGGGUGGCAGCAGUCGAGAAUUUUU
Molecule: ribosomal RNA, 354 nt
Filed under: uncultured bacterium
Lineage: Bacteria
Description: bacterial SSU rRNA
Rfam family: Bacterial small subunit ribosomal RNA
Source: RNAcentral